GGCUCAGAUUGAACGCUGGCGGCAGGCCUAACACAUGCAAGUCGAGCGGAUGAGUGGAGCUUGCUCCAUGAUUCAGCGGCGGACGGGUGAGUAAUGCCUAGGAAUCUGCCUAGUGGUGGGGGAUAACGUUCGGAAACGGACGCUAAUACCGCAUACGUCCUACGGGAGAAAGCGGGGGAUCUUCGGACCUCGCGCCAUUAGAUGAGCCUAGGUCGGAUUAGCUAGUUGGUGAGGUAAUGGCUCACCAAGGCGACGAUCCGUAACUGGUCUGAGAGGAUGAUCAGUCACACUGGAACUGAGACACGGUCCAGACUCCUACGGGAGGCAGCAGUGGGGAAUAUUGGACAAUGGGCGAAAGCCUGAUCCAGCCAUGCCGCGUGUGUGAAGAAGGUCUUCGGAUUGUAAAGCACUUUAAGUUGGGAGGAAGGGUAGUAACCUAAUACGUUGCUACUUUGACGUUACCGACAGAAUAAGCACCGGCUAACUUCGUG
This 491-nucleotide ribosomal RNA is filed under the name uncultured bacterium. RNAcentral describes it as "bacterial SSU rRNA". It matches the Rfam family "Bacterial small subunit ribosomal RNA", at positions 21 to 507 of the family's 1533-position model. The record is from RNAcentral.